ACCAAACAUUUUCUCUGCUUCUUUUAAGGGUGUGGACAAUCGGGCAAGUGACUGCAUGUGACAACAGAGAGAGGGCAUGGUACACGGUGGCAGAUGAGCCCGGGACUGGAGGCAGAUCUGGGUUCCAGUUCGGGCUCUACCAGCAGCACCCAUGUGUCCUUCUGUUCUCUGGGCCUCAAUUUCCUGUUGUAAAAUUCAGAACUUGGAAGAGAACUACAGAAAGGGACAGAGCUGUUUAUGUCAUGAAAAGCAGGCCUGAGCAUUAGAAGACUGAGAAACACCUGGGAGGAUCUUGUUUCAACAGAGCUCAAAGCCGUGGCAAAAGGACGGAGCUCGAAUUGUGCAAUUCAUUUCAGGAGGUUCCUGUGAAAAACCUACAUGCACACACCCCCACGUGCAGCUGCAGACUGCUAUCUAUACACGAAGUUAUGCAUCGCAGAGUCGACUGCAAAAGGCUGGAGCCCACACAGCGUCUAUCAAUAGGGAACGGGUUAAAUCGACCACAAGAUUUCCAUAUGACGAUGGAACACUUUCCAGCCAAGAAAGGAGGAGGAAGUCCUCACUGCUCUGAUACGGAACAGUCACCAAGACAUAUUUUAAGUAAAAAAAAGGCAGCAUGCAUAACCAGGGAAAUGAAAACUAAAACCACAGUGAGUUACAAUUUCACACAGAUCCAUCUACAAAAAAAAAAAAGCUGAUAAUUGCAGGUGUUGGUGAAGAAGUGGAGUGAGGGGAAUGCUCAAACUACUAGUGGGUGUGCGAAUGGUUAUAACCACUUUUUAAAAUUUUGGCAUUAUCUACUGAAGUUGACAAUGUACUUUCCCAAUGGCCUUGCAAAUGCCCUGGAGAAGUUCUUACCCAACCCCCGCCAUUCCCCCCAACACACACCAAAAGAAACAAUUAAGAACAUUUGCACCAGCUCUGUUCCUAGAACCCCAAAACUGAGGCCAGCACUGAGGCCAAGCACAGUGGCUCAUGCCUGUAAUCCCAGCAGGCAUGAGCCACCCUUUGGGAGCCUGAGGCCGGAGGAUUAUUGAGGUUGAGAGUUCAAGACCAGCCUGGGCAACAUAGUGAGACCUUGUCUCUAUAAAAGAAGUUUUAAAAAUUAGCCAGGUGUGAUGGCUCAUGCUUGUAGUCCCAGCUAAUUGGGAGGCUGAGGUAGGAGGAUCGUUUCUUGAGCCCUGGAGGUUGAGGCUGCAGUGAGCCAUGAUUGCACCACUGCACUCCAGCCUGGGCAACAGAAUGAGACCCUGUCUCAAAAAAUAAAAUUAAAUUAGAAAACAAUAAUAAUUAUUAUUAAUAAAUAAAAUAGUCCAAUGAAAAUAAUCAUACUAUCUCCAUGCAAUGGAAUUCUAUACAAGAGUGAAAAUGAACUAACUCCGGACAUGCGUAUCAGUACACUGAACUUCAGAACUAUAAUUAUGGGUGGGACAAAAGCCAGCCAUAGAAAACUAUUCUAUUCAUAAUCCCAAAAAGGUAGUAUACCAUAUUCAAUUAUUAUAUAUAUUUAUGUCUUGUUAUAUAUAAUGUUUAUUACAUUUAUCUUAGUA
RNAcentral lists this long non-coding RNA (1550 nucleotides) under Homo sapiens (human). Its description in RNAcentral is "HSALNT0334045". Lineage: Eukaryota; Metazoa; Chordata; Mammalia; Primates; Hominidae. The record is from RNAcentral.